This 108-nucleotide Y RNA is filed under the name Chelonoidis abingdonii (Abingdon island giant tortoise). Its description in RNAcentral is "Y RNA (ENSCABG00000010741.1)". It matches the Rfam family "Y RNA". Rfam says of the family: Y RNAs are components of the Ro ribonucleoprotein particle (Ro RNP), in association with Ro60 and La proteins. The Y RNAs and Ro60 and La proteins are well conserved, but the function of the Ro RNP is not known. Lineage: Eukaryota; Metazoa; Chordata; Testudines; Testudinidae. The record is from Rfam by way of RNAcentral.
GGCUGGUCCGAAGGUAGUGGGUUAUCUCAAUUGAUUGUUCACAGUCAGUUACAGAUUGAUCUCCUUCUCUCUUUCCCCCUUCCCACUACUGCAUUUGACUGGUCUUUU